CCUACGGGAGACAGCAGUGAGGAAUAUUGGUCAAUGGCCGGGAGGCUGAACCAGCCAAGUCGCGUGAGGGAAGACGGCCCUACGGGUUGUAAACCUCUUUUGUCAGGGAGCAAGGUGCAGGUCGGGACCUGCUGUGAGAGUACCUGAAGAAAAUGCAUCGGCUAACUCCGUGCCAGCCGCCGCGGUAAUACGGAGGAUGCGAGGGUUAUCCGGAUUUAUGGGGGUAAACGGGUGCGUAGGCGGACUGUUAAGUCAGCGGUAAAAGCCCGGGGCUCAACUCCGGCGAGCCGUUGAAACUGGCUGACUUGAGAAGUCGAGAGGAAUGCAGAAUUCGCGGUGUAGCGGUGAAAUGCUUAGAUAUUGCGCAGAACUCCGAUUGCGAAGGCAGCAUACCGGCGGCGAUCUGACGCUGAGGCGCGAAAGCGUGGGUAUCGAACAGGAUUAGAUACCCGUGUAGUC
This 459-nucleotide ribosomal RNA is filed under the name uncultured bacterium. RNAcentral's name for it is "partial 16S ribosomal RNA". It matches the Rfam family "Bacterial small subunit ribosomal RNA", at positions 338 to 795 of the family's 1533-position model. The record is from RNAcentral.